This 237-nucleotide long non-coding RNA is filed under the name Phoenix dactylifera (date palm). RNAcentral describes it as "long non-coding RNA (PDAC_LNC012888)". The record is from RNAcentral. Lineage: Eukaryota; Viridiplantae; Streptophyta; Magnoliopsida; Arecales; Arecaceae.
GAUUUCAAGUUAGUAGAAGAUUCAAGAAUUGCGAAAGAUUCCUGAACGUUGGAGAUGGAAGAUCUGUUCCAGUCCUAGCUUUAGGAGUUAUUAAGCUUGUUUUUGAAUCUAGAGUAGUCAUAUUAGAUGAUUGUCAUUAUUGUCCAGCAUUUUUGAUGAAUGUCAUCUCUGUAGGCCUUUUGGCCAAAAAUGGUUAUUGUUUAUCAAUAAAAAAAAAUUUAUGAUAUUAUUUUGAAU